This 497-nucleotide ribosomal RNA is filed under the name uncultured bacterium. RNAcentral's name for it is "partial 16S ribosomal RNA". It matches the Rfam family "Bacterial small subunit ribosomal RNA", at positions 28 to 523 of the family's 1533-position model. The record is from RNAcentral.
GAUGAACGCUGGCGGCGUGCUUAACACAUGCAAGUCGAACGAAGCACUUUUAUUUGAUUUCUUCGGAAUGAAGAUUUUAGUGACUGAGUGGCGGACGGGUGAGUAACGCGUGGGUAACCUGCCUCAUACAGGGGGAUAACAGUUAGAAAUGACUGCUAAUACCGCAUAAGACCACAGCACCGCAUGGUGCAGGGGUAAAAACUCCGGUGGUAUGAGAUGGACCCGCGUCUGAUUAGGUAGUUGGUGGGGUAACGGCCUACCAAGCCGACGAUCAGUAGCCGACCUGAGAGGGUGACCGGCCACAUUGGGACUGAGACACGGCCCAAACUCCUACGGGAGGCAGCAGUGGGGAAUAUUGCACAAUGGGGGAAACCCUGAUGCAGCGACGCCGCGUGAGCGAUGAAGUAUUUCGGUAUGUAAAGCUCUAUCAGCAGGGAAGAAAAUGACGGUACCUGACUAAGAAGCACCGGCUAAAUACGUGCCAGCAGCCGCAGUAA